RNAcentral lists this small nuclear RNA (107 nucleotides) under Leptobrachium leishanense (Leishan spiny toad). The record is from RNAcentral. Lineage: Eukaryota; Metazoa; Chordata; Amphibia; Anura; Megophryidae.
GUGCUUGCUUCAGCAGCACAUUUACUAAAAUUGGACCGAUAAAGAGAAGAUUAGCAUCGCCCCUGCACAAGGAUAACAGGCAAAUUCGUGUAGCGCUCCAUAUUUAA